UGGGGAAUCUUGCGCAAUGGGCGAAAGCCUGACGCAGCAACGCCGCGUGUGUGAUGAAGGUCUUCGGAUCGUAAAGCACUGUCGCGAGGGAAGAUACGCCUCUGUCUAACAAACGGGGGCUAAGACGGUACCUCGAGAGGAAGCACCGGCUAACUCUGUGCCAGCAGCCGCGGUAAUACAGAGGGUGCGAGCGUUGUUCGGAAUUAUUGGGCGUAAAGCGCUUGUAGGCGGCCUGGAAAGUCGCGUGUGAAAUCCCCUGGCUUAACCAGGGAAGUGCGCGCGAAACUUCUGGGCUUGAGUGCCGGAGAGGGUCGCGGAAUUCCCGGUGUAGAGGUGAAAUUCGUAGAUAUCGGGAGGAACACCAGUGGCGAAGGCGGCGACCUGGACGGACACUGACGCUGAGACGCGAAAGCGUGGGGAGCAAACAG
This 428-nucleotide ribosomal RNA is filed under the name uncultured bacterium. RNAcentral describes it as "bacterial SSU rRNA". It matches the Rfam family "Bacterial small subunit ribosomal RNA", at positions 355 to 775 of the family's 1533-position model. The record is from RNAcentral.